RNAcentral lists this ribosomal RNA (118 nucleotides) under Echinococcus granulosus. The record is from RNAcentral. Lineage: Eukaryota; Metazoa; Platyhelminthes; Cestoda; Cyclophyllidea; Taeniidae.
GCCAGCGAUUACCCUACGUAGAAACCUUCGGUUCCGUCAGACCAUCGAGGUUAUGCUACGUCAGGCCGCGUUAUUACAAUUGGUGGUGACGGAUGAGGAAGGCUCGGGGUCGCAGGCC